UACGGAGGAUGCGAGCGUUAUUCGGAUUUAUUGGGUUUAAAGGGUGCGUAGGCGGUCCGGAAAGUCAGCGGUAAAAGCCCGGGGCUCAACCCCGGCGAGCCGUUGAAACUGUCGGACUAGAGACGGCGAGAAGUACGCGGAAUGCGCGGUGUAGCGGUGAAAUGCAUAGAUAUCACGCAGAACCCCGAUUGCGAAGGCAGCCUUCCGGCGCCCUACUGACGCUGAGGCACGAAAGUGCGGGGAUCGAACAGG
Molecule: ribosomal RNA, 252 nt
Filed under: uncultured Bacteroidales bacterium
Lineage: Bacteria; Pseudomonadati; Bacteroidota; Bacteroidia; Bacteroidales
Description: partial 16S ribosomal RNA
Rfam family: Bacterial small subunit ribosomal RNA
Source: RNAcentral